GUAAAAGUCGUAACAAGGUUUCCGUAGGUGAACCUGCGGAAGGAUCAUUAUCGAGUUUUGACUGGGUUGUAGCUGGCCUUCCGAGGCAUGUGCACGCCCUGCUCAUCCACUCUACACCUGUGCACUUACUGUGGGCUUCAGAUCGUAAAACGGGUCCCUUUACCGGGCUUGCGGAGCGUGUCUGUGCCUGCGUUUAUCACAAACUCUAUAAAGUAUCAGAAUGUGUAUUGCGAUGUAACGCAUCUAUAUACAACUUUCAGCAACGGAUCUCUUGGCUCUCGCAUCGAUGAAGAACGCAGCGAAAUGCGAUAAGUAAUGUGAAUUGCAGAAUUCAGUGAAUCAUCGAAUCUUUGAACGCACCUUGCGCUCCUUGGUAUUCCGAGGAGCAUGCCUGUUUGAGUGUCAUGAAAUCUUCAACCUGCAAGCUUUUGUGGUUUGUAGGCUUGGACUUGGAGGCUUGUCGGCCGUUGUUGGUCGGCUCCUCUUAAAUGCAUUAGCUUGGUUCCUUGCGGAUCGGCUCUCAGUGUGAUAAUGUCUACGCUGCGACCGUGAAGCGUUUGGCGAGCUUCUAACCGUCUCAGUUGGAGACAACUUUAUGACCUCUGACCUCAAAUCAGGUAGGACUACCCGCUGAACUUA
Molecule: ribosomal RNA, 639 nt
Filed under: Ganoderma sp. 2 YD-2015
Lineage: Eukaryota; Fungi; Basidiomycota; Agaricomycetes; Polyporales; Polyporaceae
Description: eukaryotic LSU rRNA
Rfam family: 5.8S ribosomal RNA (bases 252-405)
Source: RNAcentral